RNAcentral lists this ribosomal RNA (443 nucleotides) under uncultured bacterium. Its description in RNAcentral is "partial 16S ribosomal RNA". It matches the Rfam family "Bacterial small subunit ribosomal RNA", at positions 338 to 795 of the family's 1533-position model. The record is from RNAcentral.
CCUACGGGAGGCAGCAGUGGGGAAUAUUGGGCAAUGGGCGCAAUCCUGACCCCUCACAGCCGCGUGAAGGAAGAAGGCUUUCGGGUUGUAAACUUCUUUUCUCCGGGACUAAACAAGUGACGGUACCUGAGGAAUAAGCCACGGCUAACUCCGUGCCAGCAGCCGCGGGAAUACGUAGGUGGUAAGCGUUAGCCGGAUUUACUGGGUGUAAAGGGCGUGUAGGCGGGAAAGCAAGUCAGAUGUGAAAACCAUGGGCUCAACCUGUGGCCUGCAUUUGAAACUGUUUUUCUUGAGUACUGGAGAGGCAGACGGAAUUCCUAGUGUAGCGGUGAAAUGCGUAGAUAUUAGGAGGAACACCAGUGGCGAAGGCGGUCUGCUGGACAGCAACUGACGCUGAGGCGCGAAAGCGUGGGGAGCAAACAGGAUUAGAUACCCUUGUAGUC